Long non-coding RNA from Magallana angulata, 1736 nucleotides. RefSeq lists it as uncharacterized. NCBI's taxonomy places the organism in Eukaryota, Metazoa, Mollusca, Bivalvia, Ostreida, Ostreidae. The transcript has 3 exons. The record is from RefSeq and is a predicted model, not a curated record.
AAGAUCAGAGGUGUUGAACAGCGCUCAACAGAGGGAGCGCUUGCCAAAGUUCCCUAUAACUGCGACACAAAUUGUGGCGAGUGCUUUAAUGAACACGCUUCUGGCAUGCACCUGGCAAUUACGGUGUCCUAUAUAUAUUCAAUCCAAGAUUGCGUCAGAAAUUAGAGUAUUUCACGAGGCGAAGCGGAGGGAAGUGUUGUUAAUUCUGUCCUAAAAACCAGCAUAAGCAGAUAGCAUGAAAACUCUUUCACGUUGUAGGCUGUGUUGAUGGAACAAAAUCAAGAUUUCUACGUACACCAACUGCAAAUGAGUCUGACUUUGUUAACAGAAAAAAGAUUCCAUAGGCUAAAUGUUCAGUCUGGCAGGAACAAUUUUUAAAUGUAUAGGCCUUAAGGACUUUGAUUGUAAAUUAAAAAUAUACAUAAAUAGGUGACCUUUAAUGCUUUACAGUUACUUAUAUCCAUAGACAUUUUUUAAUGAUGAAUACUAUAAAAAAAAAACUAGUUUAUGACAUUCCUUGGAGCAAAUCAUGUUGAAAAAUAUAAAAAAUUAAAUCACAGGUCAUAUAAUUGCUUUUCAACAAAAUAUAGAGAUUCAGAAUGUCAGAUUUUUUGUAAUAAUUAUGAGCAUGUUCAAAAAAUGUUUUGUAAUAACUAAAAUGCCAUUUUUGGAACACGUUUACAAGUAUUUAUAAAUGUGUUUGUCUUUAAGGAUAACCUCCUACCACUAUUCAGAAAUCUGGAAAUCAAUAUCUUUGUCAACAAUUUGAAAAUGGUAUUGUGUGUCGUUUAAUUCUUCACUUCAGCAACAAUGAGUAUAAUCAUACAUGUUUCCAAUGAAAUAUGCAUAAUCACUCUAUAAAACAAGUAUGUAAAUGUAUUUAUAUAUGCUGUUAGUGAUUAAUAUUUUGUUUUAUGUACAAAAAAUAGUUGAAAUCUAGACACGCACGACAGUCUGUUACUGGAUCAUUUUGGCUAUAUCUUUACCAGAUAUUUGGUGACCCUUUAUAAUCAUGGACAACUGUUGAAGAGAGAUUCAAUGCCAGUUUGUACCAGACACGGGUUCCUAAUGAACAGACAAUUGGGAUCUUGAAAGGAAGUUACAAAAACUUCAUUUUGCACUUAGGACAUGUCCAGAACAAGCUGUAAAAUACAUUUCUGUAACAUGUAUCCUUCAAAACAAAGCCAUUGCCCGAUUAACAGUCGUAUAAGUGACAACUCAUAAUUAUGUGUUGCCUCAGCAUCAGGUACUUACAGUUUCAGUUCAGAAUCCUGCUGCACCUGCCAGAAAUGAUGGAGAGCUGCAAUCUUCAAUGGACUUUUCUAUGCCACUUUAUGUACCUUAAAAGUAAAAUACAGCCACUAUUGAACUUUUCAGACUUUAUUAUUGAGAUUAUAUUGUUGAGAUUUUGUUAUUGUCAUUUUUCAUACAAAUUCAAUAAACGCAUUUACGAGCUAAGCACAUCUAUUAAGUAUAACACAACAGACAUUUUUCUCUACUGGUACAGUUUUAAACAAAACAUAGCAAUGAACUGAUAUAAAACAAGAAUGACAGAGUUUAUUUAUUACGUCAUUUGAGUCACACCACCUAUUGCAGUAAUGCUAUUGGUCUGCAGUCGUGCUCCGUCCGUUAACAAUUAAUUUUACAUUUUGGGCUUUUUGAAAAAAUACACCGAGAAUUGUUACCAUUUUUGGUUUGUAGCUUUUCUUAGGGUAAGAGAAAUCUACAUUGUAAAA